CAUGCAGUCGAACGGUGAAAGAGAGCUUGCUCUCUGGAUCAGUGGCGAACGGGUGAGUAACACGUGAGCAACGUGCCCCAGACUCUGGGAUAACAGCUGGAAACAGCUGCUAAUACCGGAUACGAGACGUGAAGGCAUCUUCAACGUCUGGAAAGAAUUUCGGUCUGGGAUCGGCUCGCGGCCUAUCAGCUUGUUGGUGAGGUAACGGCUCACCAAGGCGUCGACGGGUAGCCGGCCUGAGAGGGUGACCGGCCACACUGGGACUGAGACACGGCCCAGACUCCUACGGGAGGCAGCAGUGGGGAAUAUUGCACAAUGGGCGAAAGCCUGAUGCAGCAACGCCGCGUGAGGGACGACGGCCUUCGGGUUGUAAACCUCUUUUAGCAGGGAAGAAGCGAAAGUGACGGUACCUGCAGAAAAAGCGCCGGCUAACUACGUGCCAGCAGCCGCGGUAAUACGUAGGGCGCAAGCGUUAUCCGGAAUUAUUGGGCGUAAAGAGCUCGUAGGCGGUUUGUCGCGUCUGCUGUGAAAACCCGAGGCUCAACCUCGGGCCUGCAGUGGGUACGGGCAGACUAGAGUGCGGUAGGGGAGAUUGGAAUUCCUGGUGUAGCGGUGGAAUGCGCAGAUAUCAGGAGGAACACCGAUGGCGAAGGCAGAUCUCUGGGCCGUAACUGACGCUGAGGAGCGAAAGGGUGGGGAGCAAACAGGCUUAGAUACCCUGGUAGUCCACCCCGUAAACGUUGGGAACUAGUUGUGGGGUCCAUUCCACGGAUUCCGUGACGCAGCUAACGCAUUAAGUUCCCCGCCUGGGGAGUACGGCCGCAAGGCUAAACUCAAGGAAUUGACGGGGACCCGCACAAGCG
RNAcentral lists this ribosomal RNA (863 nucleotides) under Microbacterium sp. M12. Its description in RNAcentral is "bacterial SSU rRNA". It matches the Rfam family "Bacterial small subunit ribosomal RNA", at positions 54 to 931 of the family's 1533-position model. Lineage: Bacteria; Bacillati; Actinomycetota; Actinomycetes; Micrococcales; Microbacteriaceae. The record is from RNAcentral.